This 1403-nucleotide ribosomal RNA is filed under the name Campylobacter jejuni. RNAcentral's name for it is "bacterial SSU rRNA". It matches the Rfam family "Bacterial small subunit ribosomal RNA". The record is from RNAcentral. Lineage: Bacteria; Pseudomonadati; Campylobacterota; Epsilonproteobacteria; Campylobacterales; Campylobacteraceae.
GCAAGUCGAACGAUGAAGCUUCUAGCUUGCUAGAAGUGGAUUAGUGGCGCACGGGUGAGUAAGGUAUAGUUAAUCUGCCCUACACAAGAGGACAACAGUUGGAAACGACUGCUAAUACUCUAUACUCCUGCUUAACACAAGUUGAGUAGGGAAAGUUUUUCGGUGUAGGAUGAGACUAUAUAGUAUCAGCUAGUUGGUAAGGUAAUGGCUUACCAAGGCUAUGACGCUUAACUGGUCUGAGAGGAUGAUCAGUCACACUGGAACUGAGACACGGUCCAGACUCCUACGGGAGGCAGCAGUAGGGAAUAUUGCGCAAUGGGGGAAACCCUGACGCAGCAACGCCGCGUGGAGGAUGACACUUUUCGGAGCGUAAACUCCUUUUCUUAGGGAAGAAUUCUGACGGUACCUAAGGAAUAAGCACCGGCUAACUCCGUGCCAGCAGCCGCGGUAAUACGGAGGGUGCAAGCGUUACUCGGAAUCACUGGGCGUAAAGGGCGCGUAGGCGGAUUAUCAAGUCUCUUGUGAAAUCUAAUGGCUUAACCAUUAAACUGCUUGGGAAACUGAUAGUCUAGAGUGAGGGAGAGGCAGAUGGAAUUGGUGGUGUAGGGGUAAAAUCCGUAGAUAUCACCAAGAAUACCCAUUGCGAAGGCGAUCUGCUGGAACUCAACUGACGCUAAGGCGCGAAAGCGUGGGGAGCAAACAGGAUUAGAUACCCUGGUAGUCCACGCCCUAAACGAUGUACACUAGUUGUUGGGGUGCUAGUCAUCUCAGUAAUGCAGCUAACGCAUUAAGUGUACCGCCUGGGGAGUACGGUCGCAAGAUUAAAACUCAAAGGAAUAGACGGGGACCCGCACAAGCGGUGGAGCAUGUGGUUUAAUUCGAAGAUACGCGAAGAACCUUACCUGGGCUUGAUAUCCUAAGAACCUUAUAGAGAUAUGAGGGUGCUAGCUUGCUAGAACUUAGAGACAGGUGCUGCACGGCUGUCGUCAGCUCGUGUCGUGAGAUGUUGGGUUAAGUCCCGCAACGAGCGCAACCCACGUAUUUAGUUGCUAACGGUUCGGCCGAGCACUCUAAAUAGACUGCCUUCGUAAGGAGGAGGAAGGUGUGGACGACGUCAAGUCAUCAUGGCCCUUAUGCCCAGGGCGACACACGUGCUACAAUGGCAUAUACAAUGAGACGCAAUACCGCGAGGUGGAGCAAAUCUAUAAAAUAUGUCCCAGUUCGGAUUGUUCUCUGCAACUCGAGAGCAUGAAGCCGGAAUCGCUAGUAAUCGUAGAUCAGCCAUGCUACGGUGAAUACGUUCCCGGGUCUUGUACUCACCGCCCGUCACACCAUGGGAGUUGAUUUCACUCGAAGCCGGAAUACUAAACUAGUUACCGUCCACAGUGGAAUUAGCGACUGGG